RNAcentral lists this long non-coding RNA (1578 nucleotides) under Homo sapiens (human). RNAcentral's name for it is "HSALNT0355622". Lineage: Eukaryota; Metazoa; Chordata; Mammalia; Primates; Hominidae. The record is from RNAcentral.
CACAGCCCACGGCUUUCAAUUUUCAUUUAGAAUCCAAUUUUAUUUAAAGAAGUAAUUAUGGCCAGGUGCAGCGGCUCAUAUCUGUAAUCCCAGGGCUUUGGGAGGCUGAGGUGGGCGCAUCAAGAGGUCAGGAGAUCGAGACCAUCCUGGCUAACAUGGAGAAACCCCGUCUCUACUAAAAAUACAAAAAAAUUAGCCGGGCAUGGUGGCGGGUGCCUGUAGUCCCAGCUACUCAGGAAGCUGAGGCAGGAGAAUGGCAUGAACCCGGGAGGUGGAGCUUUCAGUGAACCGAGAUCGCGCCACUGCACUCCAGCGUGGGCGACAGAGCGAGACUCCAUCUCAAAAAAAAAAAAAAAAAAAAAAAAAAGCAAUUACGAAAAUAAGAAAACAACCCCCUGCCCACAGAGCCAUAACCAUGUGAUUCUUCACAUUCAAACUUCCUCUAGUAUCUUCUAUAUCUAGAAAGUUUCCAAGACUUAAAAGGAGGGUUGAUUUAAAAAAAUAGUAUCUGGGAACUUCUCUGAAAAUCGUAAUAAAAAUGCACAGCCCUCCACUCUUCCUAACAAUCAACAGCGGUCAUAUCAGGAAAAGUGAUUUGAGGGCAGUGAACCCACUUCCCAGAGAAACAAACCAUGACUCGUAAAAGGAAUUUUUAAAAAGUGUGCUUUAAAGUCUUUGGAAACAUCCUACAGGUAUAUAGCAACUGAAAAGUGUCUCCUCAAGAAAGUCUACCAGGUCUCUGUAGAGCUAAGAAGGGCGUGUGGCCCUCCCAGCCCUGCUCAGCAGGACACAGCUCCACUCUGGGCGGCCGCAGGGUCAGGAGGAGGCUCCCUCUCCUCAUGGUCUUUCGGGUCCUGGUGAUUUUCUGGGAGGAGCAGGGCACCAGCUUCCUUACUCCCCCUGGCUGGAUGUCCCUGAGCUAAGUCCCAGGCGACUUCCAUCGCAGGAUGCAGCUCUUUCCCUCAGCCAGCCCCGCUUUGUAGGGCAGAAGCUCCUCCCAGGCUGAGGGCUGAGCUUCCUAGGCAGGUGGCCCUGACCCAGCUUGCUGGUGGGUUUCACACUGAUAGCAGCAAACCCAGAAGACCAGAGAUGGCUUUGACACCAGGCACCCAGCUUUUGAGGCAGGGCACCCCUGAGAGACAGUCCCCCUUGUCUUCACCCCAUCCCAGAUCCAAGUCAGUGGUUCAGAUUUUGCCCAGGGAGAGGCAGGCAGUAAGAACCGAGGCUCCAGAACUCUCUGGGAGAGCUGACUGUAUUUAGAACAGACAGUUGGAACAUUCAGGCCGGGCAGCAUUCCCCAUCACAAUGGAGAUGGUGGUGGCGAGCAAUUAGGAGGGCACAGAGAACUCUGUGACAGCAGCAGUGUCACCUUCAGGCCAGCUAAUUCGCAAGGAGAACACGAAAGUUAUCAUCGGGAAUCCAAGUGCUGUUAUGGAUGGUACAAGUGGCCAAACUUUACAGUAAAAUAUUCCUGUUCUUGAAAAUAAAUGUUAAGGAGUCUGCUUGAAAUACUAAUUAUAUUACUUAAUAAACAGUCUUUUAAAUAAUUAGAUGUUAAAUAUAGUUGACAAAUUUUUU